RNAcentral lists this long non-coding RNA (825 nucleotides) under Homo sapiens (human). Its description in RNAcentral is "HSALNT0075577". The record is from RNAcentral. Lineage: Eukaryota; Metazoa; Chordata; Mammalia; Primates; Hominidae.
CCGAAGGAGGCCGUGGGGCUCUGCAAGGCGCAGAUCACUGCCAUCAUCUCUCAGCAAGGUGACAUAUUUGUUUUUGACCUGGAGACCUCAGCUGUCGCUCCCUUUGUUUGGUUGGAUGUAGGAAGCAUCCCAGGGAGAUUUAGUGACAAUGGUUUCCUCAUGACUGAGAAGACACGAACUAUAUUAUUUUACCCUUGGGAGCCCACCAGCAAGAAUGAGUUGGAGCAAUCUUUUCAUGUGACCUCCUUAACAGAUAUUUACUGAAGGAAUCUAGGUUGUAUUUUCAGUGGACAAUGGGAAUAAAGCAUUUCUAAAGCACCGACUGGAGAGGAAGGCAACAGAGACAAGGAGAGAAGCCGAGAGACAUGUCUGCGUGCUGCCACGCAUUUGAGCGAUUGCUCUGUGAAGAGUUGUACACUGAACACUUUCAGGGGAGGCUGUUUACCCAGGCAAUGUCCUCAAACAAGCCUGUGCCGGGGUGUCCUGGAAUCUGUGCCAGGACUGUGUUUUUAGCCCUUCACCUCUCAGCUUUAGCAGGACAUGAACCAGUUAUAACAAGAUGGCCCUGCAGCUGGUUACAAGAAUGUGACAUGGCAGGAUCUAUGGAACCAAAUGGAAGGUUUUGAGGUGAUGUAGGUCUUUCACAGCUAGCUUUGGGGAAUACGGAAUACUCAAAUAAAGUGCUUUGUUAUUAUUUCAGAGGGAAUGGCGAUUGAAAUGUUACAACAGAGAUUUCUUGGUGGUAGCUAUUUGGGUAAAGGUAUAUGGGUAUUUUUCUGUACAUGUGAAAUUAUAUAAAAAUAAAAGUUAUAUAAAUUACAUUGA